UCUUUUGGAGAUUGCUCCUCUUUGAGUCUUCUCAGUGAGCCUAGGACUAGGCAAGAUCAUCAGAAUCAUCUGCUGGAAAGAUCCUGGCUACUAAGUGCCUGAGACCACCCUGAGCGUGAUGCACUUCAAACUCAGCCAUCUCAUCCCUGAGCCUGAAUAUUUAACGGUUGUCUUAUCAGUGUGCAGACUCUGGAAUUUCCUUUUUCUUUUUGAUGGGUAUCAGAGUGCAAAAGGUCCAGCUGAUAAAAUUCUCUAAUGAUCUGAAGGAGUAUCAGAGAUUCUGCCUGUAGCCCACUGCUUGGGAACCCUUUGUCUAAGCAGACCUGCAUGAUGUGAAGCCCUGUGUUAUGUGCUGCUGGAAGGAGAGGAGAUCCUUGAUGUCCCAUCAGAUGCUUCCCGUAGCUUGAACUGUUUUUCUAGUUCUACUACUAAAUUAGUAUGCUGGACAGGUUGUGGAAAAACUCAUCCUUGGAGAAUUUCAAAAAGGCCCUAAGCAAUCUGAUCUGGUUUUGAUGUUAAAUGUGCCUUGAGCUGUAUGUUUGACUGGAUAGCCUCCCAUGGCUACUUCAUACCUAAAUUACUUACGAUGACUUAUAUUAUUCUGUCAUUGGGUGAGUAAAAUCUCUUUGAAUAAGAACUUUAAUUCUUUUGUCUUGUAAGUAUUUAAGGAGGCAUAGGAAAGUUGAGGCUUGGUUGUCUCUAAGUGAAAGCACAGACCUUCAGUGCUGUAUUUGAAGCAAUUGUGAAUACUCCAAAAUGCACUGAUGUAAAUGUACCUAAUAUCAGAGAUGAUCUUGAUUUUUGUUUUCUUUGUGGAUUUGCCUUUACUUUUUGCACAGUUGGUGCACAGUUCAUUACAGAUGUUUUAUUUAAGUAGAAUUUUGGUGUAUUAAAUGAGUUUCCAACAGACCUUAAGUUUUGUAGUCUUUUUCGUAGGACAUUUACUAACUGCUCUGUAUGCCUCUUUUGGAGUUUGAAGAAAGAGUUCUAAACUUACACCUUCCAAUGUCAAACUAAAAAGUAGUCUUUGGAAGAAAAACAACAGAUCAUUUGGCAGUGCAUGUGUAUAAUUAAAAAAAAAAAAAAAAAACAUGAAACAACCCACAACUGUUUUAAUACUGUCCUGAAACAAAUCACAAGAACUUUUGUGCUUUUUUGCUGAAAUAGCUUCAGGUUUUCACAAUACAGCAAAGUUGGAUCUUUUAUUAAGAAAUCUUCUCAAUAAUAACUUCCUUGUUCCUUUGAAACCUGGCUUCUUGGUGCACUUGCAAAAUAUUAAAGAAUAUAUGCAUGCAGACUACUAGAUCUUUUCCCACCAUGUUGUUGACUGUAAGGAAAUGUGGACUGCGUACGGCAUUACAUUUCUAGUAUCCUCAUUCAAGCAAAAGGGAACAAAAUCUGUUAAUCAUUGGUUACAUAAAUAGAAUGAUAUAUGUAUAUUUAGGUGGUAUAUAGUAUGUAUUACAUAUGCAUUCCUGUGUAUAUCCUAUCUUUUUCUUAGUUUACUGUUUUCAGGCUGACUGAAACAGUAGUUUCCUUGAGAAAAGUACUUGUUUUUCUUCUUUUCAUCUAAUAUCUAAACAGUGUGAUCAGAUCCACGUUCCACUGAAUUCAAUGAAGCAAUUUGGCCGACUUCAUUUAUCCUUUGUUAUAGGUUCUGGUGAUAUACUGACAAUAAUGUUUUAAAUGCUCACUUCCUAUUCAGUGGUGUUAAUUGUUUAUGGAACAGGUGUACUCUUAUUGAGUGGCUGCUCUGAGGUGGAGCAACGCAAAAUGAAAGAGUAAUGCUGAACUUUAGUGCAUGCUUGGUCACUUCAAGGUGACGCUGCUUUACUUUAUCUGUUAUACUACCAGUUAAAUUGCUUCUGGCUCUGACAUAUUUAAAUGUAGCAGCAGCUGUGUGUUCCAGUUCUUAUUACAUUGUACCACUACUAUUCCCUGUUCUGUGUUCUUUGAACAGGUAGCCUGUCAUCUUGCAUGCUAACUUAAAAAUAUGAUAGCAUUGACUCAAAGCAAGUGAGGGUGAAGACUUUUCACAGUCACUGAUCAACGCUGUUUUUUAAAACCUUUAUAGAUGUGGAUGGAUCUGCAGAGAUUUUGUUGCACAGGUGACAAGAGCACUGGCAUAGGCUGUCCAGAGGGGGCUCUAGAUUCUAUUUCUUGGAGAUCUUUAGAGAUGCCUAGGUAUAGGCCUGUGUGCCCUGCUUGAGUAGUGGUUGGGCCAGAUGAGCUGAGAGGGUCCUGCUAACCUCAAGUUGUUCUGUGAUUCUGUGACUGAAAAAACAUGGUGAGGAGGGGUUGUAAGGCUCAGAACAAUGGAUAGCUGAUCAUAGUGUACUUGGAGUUGAAUGACAAGGGAAUCACAGAAUGGCCUGGGUUAAAAAGGACCAUGAAAAUGAUCAUCUAGUUUCAACUCCCCUGCUAUGUGCAAGAUCACCAACCACCAGACCAGGCUGCCGUGAGCCACAUCGAGCCUGGCCUGGAAUGCCUUCAGGGAUGGGGCAUCCUGUUCCAGUGCUUCACCACUCUGAGUGAACAAACCAAGCCCCUGUUUGUGUUUUCUUCUGAAGAGGAGGAAAAAAUGCUUCUAAGGCAUUGGUAAUGGAAGAAGAAUAAACUUACCUUAUUUGACUCCAUGAUCUUUCAGAGUUACUCAAAGAGGCCUGUGAUUAAUCUGGAGUUUUUGUUUUCCAGCUGAACUUUGUCUCUUUUGCUCCUCAGCCAUGUCAUACUAUAGUUGUUUUUUUUUAAUCUGGUUCUAUAGUUGUAAAGUAAAAUGAUUCUAAAGCAUGAAACAGAUACACUUAUUCUAUCUGCCAGCCCAUCUGCAGAUCCCCUUAUUUGCUGGUACUUAUUUGUGCCAAGCAGGUUGACAGAACUAGUUAAAAUGUUAUGUCCCUAAGAAACAUAUUGUAUACAAGUAUGUGACUGUCCUCUGUAAGGAGUUUUGUAAAGAUGUACUGUAAGAUAACUUGUUUGAUUUAAUUAUUUUAUUGAAUAAUGAAUUUAAUGAUCAAACAGAUGUGAAAGUAUCUACAAAGGAAAGAAUGACAACUGAAACAAAUGCUGUCUCUUUUCCUGUCAUGGUUUUCAUUACUUGGUGUCAGCACUGAUUGGUCUAAGAGCUGAAACUUUGUCUAACCAAGGAUACAAAAGAUCUGUAAUUAUUCUUCUUCAUGAUCUCUCCCUUUCCAUUUUACCUUUUUACACAAAAUCAUGCAGUAGUUUUGCUAAAUGGCAGGAUGUUUCUUCUGUGGGCUAAACCUCAGUGAGACAGGACAGUAGUGGAAAUAGAAGGAAUCAGAAUUGUAGAAUAUCCCUGGUUGGAAGGGACCCACAAGGAUCAGUGGGUCCAACUCCCAGCUCAACACAGGACCACCCAAAAAGCAAACCAUAUGUCUAAGACAGACACUUCUUCAACUCUGGCAACUUCAGUGCUGUGACUGCUUCCCUGAAAAGCCUAUUCCAAUGCACUGCCAUCUUCUCCAUGAAGAACCCUUUCUUGAUUCUGGAACGACACAUUUCUUUGAAGAUGGCAUGUUUGCAGACUUCUCUUUCCCAGUGGUGAACAAGUAGAACCUCUUAGCAGAACUGGGUUUCAGAAACGCUUUUUAAAAUAGAUGAUUUUAUUUCAUGUAGAUAUUUGGGGCACUGAAUUAUUAUACAUAAUUAAUCAGUGUCUUCAAAAUUACUCUUAAUAAAGAGAAACCUCUGUAUGGAAGAAUGUUUUAAAGGGAAACAUCACUGUGCUCUUUUUAGUGAACUAGAAGUAAAUUCUGUAUUUGCUUUCUUACCAUGUUUGCACUCUGGCUCUGUAAUAGGUCAUAUAUUUCAAGUUUUUGGGUUUUUAGAAAUGGGUAUGAUAAAAUGCAUGUCACUUGUGGAGUAUACUGUGGGUAGUUUACUUUGUAAAAACCAAUAAUUCACCUUUUUUCUUCUCCCUC
Molecule: long non-coding RNA, 3944 nt
Organism: Lagopus muta (rock ptarmigan)
Lineage: Eukaryota; Metazoa; Chordata; Aves; Galliformes; Phasianidae
Exons: 4
Source: RefSeq, a predicted model, not a curated record